CUUUAAUCUCAGCACUCAGGAGGCAAAGACUAAGGUAGGGCUCUGUGAGCUCAAGGCUAUAUAGUGAGACCCGGUCUCAGAGAAAAAGAAAGAAGAAAACAAUGGUUCUAUAUAUCUCCCUAAAUUACUCAUCACCCUCUUAAAACAAGAACUUGGUUACCUAGCCUGGGACUUGGGGUUCCAGCCAUGAGUAGGAGCUGAAGGAGGAAGAGUAUAGAGUCCAUAAUGUGAUCCCUUAGUCUUGAGAGAGUGGGAUGGGGCUGCCUGCCUUCUACCAACUGUCAGCCCCUUGUGCUGUGUGGAAGGGACUCCACUCCUCCUUCUUCAGCUCUGUCUUCCCUGUCCUUACCCAGCAUGCUAGGGCUGGUCACUUCCCUUGUCACUUCAGCCUCAGGGAGCUUCAGAGCAGACCUGGAAUAACCACACGUAAGCACCCAGGCGUGAACAUGCUCACUUCAAGGCCACAGCACACUGGGGAGCACUCUCACCCCAUCUCGUUCACAGCUUCAGGCCUGCAGGAACAGGAGCUGGCCAUGCUGGCAGGAGCCCCACCCACUCCUCUCUCUGUCUGUCUCUGUCUGUCUCUCUGUUGUCUGUCUCUGUCUCUCUGAUUCUUUGUCAUUGUCUGUCUCUCUGUCUCUGUCUGUCUCUGUCUCUUUGUCACUGUCUGUCUCUGUCUCUUUGUCACUGUCUGUCUCUGUCUCUCUGUGUCUGUCUCUAUGUCUCUGUCUCUUUGUCACUGUCUGUCUGUCUCUGUCUGUCUCUGUCUCUUUGUCACUGUCUGUCUCUGUCUCUUUGUCACUGUCUGUCUCUGUCUGUCUCUCUGUGUCUGUCUGUCUGUCUCUGUCUCUCUCUGUCUCUUUGUCACUGUCUGUCUCUGUCUGUCUCUCUGUGUCUGUCUUCUGUCUCUGUCUCUCUCUGUCUCUUUGCCACUGUCUGUCUGUCUCUCUGUGUCUGUCUCUCUGUUUCUCUCUGUGUGUCUCUCUCUCUCUCUCUCUCUCUCUCUCUCUCUCUCUCUCUCUCGUCCACACCAGCUUCACUAGGGAUGAGCAGACUACAGCCUCAGCUUGGCCACCUCCUUUGAAUCUCUACACGCUCUGAGCUUCUGUCCCUCCUGUUAUCUAAUCCAUCCACCUGCCCAGCACAAACGGGAAGAACCCCACAGCAUCAAGCUCUAGACUCCACCAGGCUUGUUUAUAGGGUGUAGAGUGGGGUACAGAUCCGAGCCCUGCUGACCUCCUUGGAAUGGGCCCUACUAAAUAAGACAUCUAAUAGAUGUCAACUGCGUGCUGUUUCUCAGAGGUCCUGUCAGUGAAGUUUUCUGGUCCUCCGUGUUUUGAGAAGACAAGAACUCACUGUGUAGAGCAAACUGGCCUGGGUCUGACAGAGAUUCUCCUGCCGCUUCCUCCAAUCCUCUCUUUCCUCAUCUCCUCCUCCCUCUGCCCUCCUCUCCCCAUCCCCUUCCAUUCUGUUUCUGUCCCCCCACCACACACACACACACACACACACACACACACACACACACACACACACCACCAGUCUUUCUACUUAUGAAGCUCAAGCUGGUUUCAAACUCGUGACAAUCUUCCUACCUCCGUUUUCUGAGUGCAGGGAUUAUUAUAGGACCGCGCCACUAGGCACAGCUUUGGUAUAGGGGAGGGCUAGUUUCUCCCCAAAGUUCCAAUGAGGAAAGCAAAAAAUCUAGAGAAAUCUCACUCAAGAGGUCUGCAGAGCAAUUAAAGGCCCAUUCUUGUCAAGAGACCAGGUCUCUGAGACUGCAGAUCCCUGAACACCCAGAAGCACCCUUUCACUCCCUCCGUUUUGCAAUACUCCGGGACCAAGGACCAAAAUGAGGACGAAGGCGGGAACCAAAGGUGCCUGCCAGCCUUGAGCCGGCAGCCUCCCAGAACCAACUGGCCUCACUGCCCUGUGUUGCCAUGGAAACAGCCCCUGCGGGCAUUGGCGGUCAAAAGCAGGAUUUCCGUCGGGGCUGCCAGCAAUUCCCGGAUCCCGACGGGGACGCAGACCUAGACCGCCGCCACGGAGAGGGAAAAGCACCCAGGGAGGUCUAGUACCCAGGUUCUGGAGUCUCCAAGUCCCAGAUCAAGACUCAGCAGGGCUGACUUCCACUAAGGGCCAGUUGUCAGAAUUUCAUAUAGCUUCCUUCUGUCUCCUUGACCUCAUGUGGCGACAGCAAGCCUUCUGGGAUCUCCACUGGAUAGGUCUGCACUAGUCCAGACAUCGCAGUCCUUCAGCACGGGCAAAAGGGUUGUACUAUGACCAAGGCCUUGAGGACCAUUGACUCCUGUGGUCUCCAAGGCUCUGAGUUUUGCACUUUUAGCUCCUGCAACUUUCGGUACCCCAUGAGAUCCGCAGCCAGGAGCGCUCAGUCUGAGCUUACAAGAGGUGUCAGUGGCUGACAAGAGGGAAAGAGGUGUGUGCCAGCUGUAAGGAAUGUUGGACCCCCUGGGUAUAGUUCCUGUCUACGACAUCACUUGCUACCUCCCCUCCCCCAACUCUCCCUUUGACAAGUGCCUGUUAAAAUGUGCCAACUCCUGCAGCUGCUGUUCACUCCACUGCACUUGGCCCUUCCCUGGUGACUGGGAUGGUGUCCCAGCCCAUCUCCCUGCCAGAGCACCCCUGCUCUCACUCACACACCCCAGGGCGUGCACAAUGCAAUGAAAUGGCGUCCCAAUGUCAGGAGUGAAACAUUUCCCUUCUGACAAGUUUGCGUCUGUUCCUACCUAGAAACCAGUCCUUUAGCCACUGAGACAAAGGCUCCCUGGGAGUCAGGCAGCUCUGGGAUUUAGGUGGGUAGUUAUGGACCCUCUCGGCAGGCUUCUUGUCUUUAUCAGUUUGGGAGGAGAGAACAUAGUGUUUGUCCCUCAGACUGCCAGGUCACUUGGUUUGGUUUAUGUCCAGGCUUGGAGGCCCCGUGAUGAGCAAAAGAAGGACGGGAAGAGAGAAGACUCUUAGUGUGUGUACCAGCUCUAGACACUAAAGAGAAGGGAUCCCUCUUCUUCCUCUACAGACUCAGGUUGCAAAGCAAGGUCACCCCUAGCAGCUACCGGAAACCCUGGAGUGAGGCUGUCCCUCAGCCAACACUGCUUGUUUGUCAGACCCUGAAGUGAGCCUCUCGAGACAAACCUCAUUCUUCUUCCUCCUGUGUGACCUUGAACAAAUCACAUAAAGGCCGUAAGCCUCAGGAUUCUCCUCUGUGAAAUGCACGUUACCAACACUGGGGCUACGUGAGGUGAUGAAGUAACCGGUAUGAGAGGCCAGGUAAAGGCGGCGAGACCAUCAGAUAACACCAGAACUUGGGACUAGUACUUUAGGAACAUGGCCCCGCCCUGUCUUGGGGUGGGGAGAGGGCUCAGCCCGACUGUACAAGGGUAAAGACCUGGGCUCCAUCCCUAGAAUCCACAUAAAAAAGCUGUUUUCGGUGGCUGUGUUUGCAAUCCUAGCACUGGAGGGGGAGG
Molecule: non-coding RNA, 3479 nt
Organism: Rattus norvegicus (Norway rat)
Lineage: Eukaryota; Metazoa; Chordata; Mammalia; Rodentia; Muridae
Source: RefSeq, a predicted model, not a curated record